This is a long non-coding RNA of Sycon ciliatum, 687 nucleotides long. RefSeq lists it as uncharacterized. Lineage: Eukaryota; Metazoa; Porifera; Calcarea; Leucosolenida; Sycettidae. The record is from RefSeq and is a predicted model, not a curated record. The transcript has 2 exons.
UGAGCAGAGAUCAAGCCUGAGCGGAGUUCGACUCUGUGUUGCGCCAGUUGACAUCGCAGAUCCUUGACUUUGUUGGACGAGCGACAAUAUACAUUACACAAGCAUGUAGCUCAUAAUGUGGGAUAACUGCCGUAUUGCAUUGCCAACGCAAACCCAUCCUGUGUCAGUGCAGCCAUCCAGGAACUUGUACUUGCCGGACCAGAUGCCUCUGCAGCUGAACACCAUUCCAGUGGAAAGCCAAGAGUUGAUGGCGAAGCAUCCCGGUCUGCACAGUACAAGUCAAAGAACAAUAAUUAUGAAUUAGAACGCACUGUAAUCCUUCCCAAAAAAGGGCAAAACCUGACAGGCUACUGAGACAUUCAACGACCUGAGACCUGGAGAUGUGUUAACAAAACUCGGCUUCGCCUCGAUUUGUACAUGUACUCGUAGGUUUAUAUUUCUGUUGAUACCUCCUCCCGUACGUUGUACAACCUUUUCCAAGCUGGCCUGAAUGCACCCUCCUACUCACCUUUUGUCUCCUUUACUAUUAUUGCCACCUUUCGUUCCCUUGGCCUGGGUAGCUACUUGCGCGCCCAUAUUUGCCAUAGUUACCCAGGCCCUUUAUCUUGCCGCGCCCUCACUCGAUCUCUCUCUCUCGUUUCGUUUUUCUUGGUCCUUCGUCUCCCAUAAUAAAUGUCUUCCCAACUA